This 102-nucleotide ribosomal RNA is filed under the name Vibrio sp. AIC-3. RNAcentral's name for it is "partial 16S ribosomal RNA". It matches the Rfam family "Bacterial small subunit ribosomal RNA", at positions 1442 to 1533 of the family's 1533-position model. The record is from RNAcentral. Lineage: Bacteria; Pseudomonadati; Pseudomonadota; Gammaproteobacteria; Vibrionales; Vibrionaceae.
CGGGGAGGACGCUCACCACUUUGUGGUUCAUGACUGGGGUGAAGUCGUAACAAGGUAGCCCUAGGGGAACCUGGGGCUGGAUCACCUCCUUAUACGAAGAUA